This 440-nucleotide ribosomal RNA is filed under the name uncultured bacterium. RNAcentral's name for it is "partial 16S ribosomal RNA". It matches the Rfam family "Bacterial small subunit ribosomal RNA", at positions 338 to 795 of the family's 1533-position model. The record is from RNAcentral.
CCUACGGGAGGCAGCAGUAGGGAAUAUUGCUCAAUGGGGGAAACCCUGAAGCAGCAACGCCGCGUGGAGGAUGAAGGUUUUCGGAUUGUACACUCCUUUUGUUAGAGAAGAUAAUGACGGUAACUAACGAAUAAGCACCGGCUAACUCCGUGCCAGCAGCCGCGGUAAUACGGAGGGUGCAAGCGUUACUCGGAAUCACUGGGCGUAAAGAGCGCGUAGGCGGGAUAUCAAGUCAGAUGUGAAAUCCUAUGGCUUAACCAUAGAACUGCAUUUGAAACUGUUAUUCUAGAGAAUGGGAGAGGUAGGUGGAAUUCUUGGUGUAGGAGUAAAAUCCGUAGAGAUCAAGAGGAAUACUCAUUGCGAAGGCGACCUGCUAGAACAUAACUGACGCUGAUGCGCGAAAGCGUAGGGAGCAAACGGGAUUAGAUACCCCUGUAGUC